CUGACAGCCUCAGUCACCGCUCACUUUUAUUGCAUCUCUUUUCCAUAAAAUGAAAGCGAACUGAGGCUGUCAUCCUUCCUAACAUCUCCUUUGGUGUUUCAUCGAAGAAAGAAAGUCAUACAGGUUUGAAACGACAUGAGGCCAGAUAUAAAUGAUGAAUGCGCUGCAAUCAGAGGAACACAGGGACUGAUCUUUUCCUCCUAAAAUGGGUCAUCCACAUGAGAUUCUCUCAUACCAACGCAUCUCCUGUUAUACACACACAUACAUUUAUACACAGAGAAAGACAGUCCGCUGGCACUAAGUCGAACGAGGCGUUGACAAUCUUAAUGCUAUGAAUAUAUGCCAGCCAUAUAAUGUCAUUUGCGUCUCUAUACUGCCUGUUAUAAACAAAUUAAAGCUAUCGCUUCGUAACGUCAAGAGCUGAAGGCAGCGACUUGUACACUCAAACACGCGCGCGCGCGCACCGACGCCCAUUAAAACACCACGCACGACACACGGCAAAAAGCAUCCUGUGUCCAAAGCCCCUCACUCACACACACACACACACACACACACGACAUAAUUCAGCUGUAGGAUAUGGAGAGUUUGCUGAGUGUAAACUACAGCAUCUCACUGCCGCUGCCAUUCAAACGUCCAUCGGUUAUUGAUUUAUUGGCCCUUAAGAAAUAACGUCACCACGUUUAAAAGCAU
This is a long non-coding RNA of Ctenopharyngodon idella (grass carp), 690 nucleotides long. RefSeq lists it as uncharacterized. The record is from RefSeq and is a predicted model, not a curated record. The transcript is spliced from 3 exons. NCBI's taxonomy places the organism in Eukaryota, Metazoa, Chordata, Actinopteri, Cypriniformes, Xenocyprididae.